GGGGUGGUUGGUUUGGUGUGGGGUUGGAGAUAAGGGGAAGAGAGAGAAGGAAAUAAGGGAAAAAAGUAGAGGGAAUGAGUGAGGACCCAAAAACAAGGUAGAAGGAGAUCUGAGGUACAUGGAUGUUGAAAAUAGAAGUAUCAGCUGCAGACAAUUCCAAGUGUGGUGGUUUGGUAAGAUUUCAAUGGCUUUCCAGCACAUCAACACUGGAUCCUAGAAAAUCAGGAAGUUAUGAGAAUGGUGAUGUGGCCUCAACCAGAGACACAGCUUGCUGAUGGUGGUGGCUCAUGAGGUGCAACUCUUCUGUUGGGCCCACCUUGCCAGACAAACUAGAGCUAGUCCCCUAUGCCCUUGCACUAAGCCAGCCUUUAACAAUUGUGGUGCAAAUCAUAGAAUUUAUAUCUAGCAAAAAGACCCAUUUUCUAGUUUACAUGAUUUUCCCCCCUGUUUUUUAUAGGCCAGGAAAACCCCUAGGAGCAAGUAUAAGCUUUAAAUAUGUCAGAGUUGCCUCAAAAAACAAUACUUGGGACAGAAAAAAGGAAACUAAUUAUUUAUAAACUAUAGAACAUACUCCAUAGAAAUUGAUAGGGAUAUAGAUGAAAGAGCAAUGGAGUAUUCUAAAGAAAAGGCUAACAGAAGGAAUAGAGGG
Molecule: unclassified non-coding RNA, 649 nt
Filed under: Hevea brasiliensis (rubber tree)
Lineage: Eukaryota; Viridiplantae; Streptophyta; Magnoliopsida; Malpighiales; Euphorbiaceae
Source: RNAcentral